UAAAUUACAAACUUUUCGGUAUACUCUGGAAUUCUCAUAAAGAUUUCAAAAAUGAUUUAUUGUUGUUCUUGUUGUCAUUCUUUGUAGGUUUUAUUUUUUGCAGCAGCAUUUAUAUAGGAGGGAAUUCAAAGCCCAUGCUCGCACCUCGCCCAAAUUUGUCACAUUUAUUUGCUAUGCUAGAAACUAUUUCCCAUUGAUGGUUUUGCUGCACAAAUAUUAAAUACGUACAUAACUGUUUUCGUAUAGCAACUUUCUCAAAAUAAGAAGUGAUCAUAGAAACGGUCCGAGGUAACUCGUUUUUAGUAGCGUUCGCUCUGGCUUCAGUAUACACAUGUUUUUACCAGAUUUCUUCAUAAUAUCAACAACAAGGUAUUAGUG
Glossina fuscipes is the source of this 378-nucleotide long non-coding RNA. RefSeq lists it as uncharacterized. The transcript has 3 exons. The record is from RefSeq and is a predicted model, not a curated record. Lineage: Eukaryota; Metazoa; Arthropoda; Insecta; Diptera; Glossinidae.